RNAcentral lists this ribosomal RNA (428 nucleotides) under uncultured bacterium. RNAcentral's name for it is "bacterial SSU rRNA". It matches the Rfam family "Bacterial small subunit ribosomal RNA", at positions 917 to 1345 of the family's 1533-position model. The record is from RNAcentral.
GGGCCCGCACAAGCGGUGGAGUAUGUGGUUUAAUUCGAUGCAACGCGAAGAACCUUACCAGGGUUUGACAUCCUCGGAACUUUCUAGAGAUAGAUUGGUGCCUUCGGGAACCGAGUGACAGGUGCUGCAUGGCUGUCGCCAGCUCGUGUCGUGAGAUGUUGGGUUAAGUCCCGUAACGAGCGCAACCCUUGUCCUUAGUUGCCAGCACCUCGGGUGGGAACUCUAAGGAGACUGCCGGUGACAAACCGGAGGAAGGUGGGGACGACGUCAAGUCAUCAUGGCCCUUACGGCCUGGGCUACACACGUGCUACAAUGGCUAGGACAGACGGCCGCAAACCCGCGAGGGGGAGCCAAUCCGACAAACCUAGUCGUAGUCCGGAUCGGAGUCUGCAACUCGACUCCGUGAAGUCGGAAUUGCUAGUAAUCGC